RNAcentral lists this ribosomal RNA (468 nucleotides) under uncultured bacterium. Its description in RNAcentral is "partial 16S ribosomal RNA". It matches the Rfam family "Bacterial small subunit ribosomal RNA", at positions 28 to 507 of the family's 1533-position model. The record is from RNAcentral.
GACGAACGCUGGCGGCGUGCUUAACACAUGCAAGUCGAACGGAAAGGCCCUGCUUUUGUGGGGUGCUCGAGUGGCGAACGGGUGAGUAACAGGUGAGUAACCUGCCCUAGACUUUGGGAUAACUUCAGGAAACUGGGGCUAAUACCGGAUAGGAGCCCCUGCUGCAUGGUGGGGGGUGGAAAGUUUCGGCGGGUGGGGAUGGACUCGCGGCUUAUCAGCUUGUUGGUGGGGGAGUGGCUUACCAAGGCUUUGACGGGUAGCCGGCCUGUGAGGGUGACCGGCCACAUUGGGACUGAGAUACGGCCCAGACUCCUACGGGAGGCAGCAGUGGGGAAUAUUGCACAAUGGGCGGAAGCCUGAUGCAGCAACGCCGCGUGCGGGAUGACGGCCUUCGGGUUGUAAACCGCUUUCGCCUGUGACGAAGCGUGAGUGACGGUAAUGGGUAAAGAAGCACCGGCUAACUACGUG